AGUGAACGCUGGCGGUAGGCCUAACACAUGCAAGUCGAACGGCAGCACAGUAAGAGCUUGCUCUUACGGGUGGCGAGUGGCGGACGGGUGCGGAAUACAUCGGAAUCUACUUUUUAGUGGGGGAUAACGUAGGGAAACUUACGCUAAUACCGCAUACGACCUACGGGUGAAAGCAGGGGAUCUUCGGACCUUGCGCGAUUGAAUGAGCCGAUGUCGGAUUAGCUAGUUGGCGGGGUAAAGGCCCACCAAGGCGACGAUCCGUAGCUGGUCUGAGAGGAUGAUCAGCCACACUGGAACUGAGACACGGUCCAGACUCCUACGGGAGGCAGCAGUGGGGAAUAUUGGACAAAGGGCGCAAGCCUGAUCCAGCCAUACCGCGUGGGUGAAGAAGGCCUUCGGGUUGUAAAGCCCUUUUGUUGGGAAAGAAAAGCAGCAGGUUAAUACCCCGCUGUUCUGACGGUACCCAAAGAAUAAGCACCGGCUAACUUCGUG
This 492-nucleotide ribosomal RNA is filed under the name uncultured bacterium. Its description in RNAcentral is "partial 16S ribosomal RNA". It matches the Rfam family "Bacterial small subunit ribosomal RNA", at positions 29 to 507 of the family's 1533-position model. The record is from RNAcentral.